Aplysia californica (California sea hare) is the source of this 1480-nucleotide RNA transcript. RefSeq lists it as uncharacterized. The record is from RefSeq and is a predicted model, not a curated record. The transcript has 2 exons. NCBI's taxonomy places the organism in Eukaryota, Metazoa, Mollusca, Gastropoda, Aplysiida, Aplysiidae.
AAAGCCCUGUACACAACGUGUCACUGGUAUCUCUCUCAUGCCAAGUCUUUUUUCCUCCCAGGUAUGAACACCAUGGAUAAUCUUGCUGAUGACGUCACUCUGGGCACCCUGGGUCUGGACUCUCUAAUGGGCGUGGAGAUGAAGCAACUCCUGGAGAAGGACUUUGACGUGCAAGUCACCCUGGUGGAGGUGCGCAAGAUGACCGUGGCCAGGCUCAAGGAAAUCGAGACAGCCAAUGCAGAGGAAUGAAAUUGCGGCAGGACACGAUGCCGACCGAGUUAACAAGGCUUUUGUGAUGUCAUCACCUCUCAUGCGUCGAUACCCCGCGCCGUCUAAUCAGAAUUCGUAGAAACAUUUUCAUGAUUAAUUCUAUAACUUUAGUAGAUUCAGAUACUCAUGUGUCUGUAUAAUAAAAGAUGAACAGCAUUACUACAAUAAAGAUUUAAUAUCAUUACUUUACUCUCAACUCUCAGUGGCUUUAACUUCAGCAUUGUUCUUCUCCAAAACUUUUCUUUCAGGAGGGUUUCGAUUUGUAUUUAUCCACAAAUGGGAAAGAGAGACUAAAGUGACAGUCCUUGGGAAAGCUUUAAACUGCUCUUUUACUAUUUCAUUUUUGUUGUUGCUGUAGUCGCUUUCUCUUAACGGUUGUAUAACCUGUCAUGUGAGCUUAUCGGAUGUUCACGGAAUGUUGUCUGUGAGCUGUGACACGCGCUACAAGGUCGUGUUUAUUCAUACAAAUAGAAAAAUGAUACUGAUGAAUUUGGACGCCAGAAGUGUGGGGAAAGUUGUUUUGUUUAUCGGGGUUUUUGUUGCUGUUGUUGUUGUUUUGGGUUUUUUUGGGUGGGAAACUUUACCACGAGAAAUAAACCUGUUAACUCAACAGGCCUGGGUGGAUUUGGAGGUUAUAUAACUCAGCGGAAAAGUGAAUGAGGAAGGGUAGAUCAGAGAAUUGGUUCAGAAGAUCAUGUAAGAAAAGACAUACGCUUAAUUUUCUUUCAAAAGACUUGCUGGCAGUGAUUGGGAAUGAAUAGAAGUGGGCACAGAAGUGACAUUAUAAUGAACAUCGGUUCAACCACAAGAUUACUGUCCUGUAUGUCCUUUGUACAGAGUUGAGAGGUUCUGUUGGGGGAUUUCUGUCUCUACGUCACACUGUCACAUAAUAAGUGAAAGCUUCCGGCCGUUUCUCUUUUUCUUCUUCUGUCGAGUACGUUAAAAAAUAAACUAGGCAUGGUUUCAGCUCAAGACAACAGUAUUUUAUUCUUAAAAUUCUUGUAAGGCAUACUUUAUAUAUUACUGAAUUGCUUGCAGUAGAGUUCCUUUCGUAUAACUUCACCUCAAGUGCUAAAUAUAGAAUAUUCUUUUUUUUCUUACAUAAUUAUAAAAUAUUUUGACUCCAGUAGACUUCCCACCAGAAAAGUAGAGAAAGCAGUAUUGUUCAAUGAUCCGUAAUAUUUUGCGUGAAAAUAAAGAAUUAAUGGAA